Austrofundulus limnaeus is the source of this 558-nucleotide long non-coding RNA. RefSeq lists it as uncharacterized. Lineage: Eukaryota; Metazoa; Chordata; Actinopteri; Cyprinodontiformes; Rivulidae. The record is from RefSeq and is a predicted model, not a curated record. The transcript is spliced from 2 exons.
CUCACAUCCAGCCCCUGCUCAUUGCUCUCGCCCCUCCCUUCAUAGAAACCCUAAUCAAGCUCAUUUCACUCACCUGUUUCCUGCAGUAUAUAAUCCAGUCUCACUCUCCAGUUCACUGCCAGAUUAUUAUCAGCUUGCCUGUGGUUCUCCAGCAGUUUCAUCCAUGUCUAGUUUUUGCCGCUUGAUCCCGACCUUGUUCUUGUCCCCUGGUUCAACGAUUCUCGCCUCAGCCCCUAACGGAUUAUACCUGCCAUCUGCUUUACCGGUAACGACUCACGCCUUGCUUCUUGGACUCCUGCUCUUUGUCUCACCCCUGAUCGGUAAUCUGGCCACCUGGAUCUCGACCCACUCCUGUACCACGGAUUAUCAGAACUUGCCUUUUGGACCCAAACACUUCAACCAAACUAACGGUGAUGUCACCGCACUGUGCUGGAAUGCAAACCCUUCCAAGAUCUGACGAGAAUCCGGUCCAAGCACUUCCUGGUUCAUUCACCUCUGCACAAUACACUUUGUCUUGGUCCGGUGCUUAUUCAGAACUCAAAACUCGGUUCUUAUCAA